Long non-coding RNA from Vidua chalybeata, 338 nucleotides. RefSeq lists it as uncharacterized. Lineage: Eukaryota; Metazoa; Chordata; Aves; Passeriformes; Viduidae. The record is from RefSeq and is a predicted model, not a curated record. The transcript is spliced from 3 exons.
ACAGGUGUGACACAGGUGUGAACAGGUGAGACAGGUGUGAACAGGUGUGCAAACCCCCCCACGGCGCUCCUCGAACCUGCCUGCCACAGGUGAGAGACAGGUGUGAACACGUGUGAACAGCAGAGACAAGAACAGGUAUGUUUCAGGUGUGCGCAGGUGUAUUUUAGGUGUGCCCAGGUGUGUUUUGGCUGUGCCCAGGUGUAUUUUAGGUGUAUUUUGGCUGUGCCCAGGUGUGUUCUGGGCGUGCCCAGGUGUGUUCUGGUUGUGCCCAGGUGUGUUCUGGGCGUGCCCAGGUGUAUUUUGGGUGUGCCCAGGUGUGUUUUAGGUGUGCCCAUGUG